UACGUAGGGUGCGAGCGUUGUCCGGAAUUAUUGGGCGUAAAGAGCUCGUAGGCGGCUUGUCGCGUCGGAUGUGAAAGCCCGGGGCUUAACUCCGGGUCUGCAUUCGAUACGGGCAGGCUAGAGUUCGGUAGGGGAGACUGGAAUUCCUGGUGUAGCGGUGGAAUGCGCAGAUAUCAGGAGGAACACCGAUGGCGAAGGCAGAUCUCUGGGCCGUAACUGACGCUGAGGAGCGAAAGCGUGGGGAGCGAACAGG
This 253-nucleotide ribosomal RNA is filed under the name uncultured bacterium. RNAcentral describes it as "partial 16S ribosomal RNA". It matches the Rfam family "Bacterial small subunit ribosomal RNA", at positions 524 to 776 of the family's 1533-position model. The record is from RNAcentral.